RNAcentral lists this ribosomal RNA (362 nucleotides) under uncultured Sphingobacteriales bacterium. RNAcentral's name for it is "bacterial SSU rRNA". It matches the Rfam family "Bacterial small subunit ribosomal RNA", at positions 1 to 372 of the family's 1533-position model. Lineage: Bacteria; Pseudomonadati; Bacteroidota; Sphingobacteriia; Sphingobacteriales. The record is from RNAcentral.
UAGUGAGUUUGAUCCUGGCUCAGGACGAACGCUAGCGGCAGGCCUAAUACAUGCAAGUCGAACGGUCUCAGCAAUGGGAUAGUGGCAAACGGGUGCGUAACGCGUAAAUAACCUGCCCCAAACUGGGAGAUAGCUUUGCGAAAGCGGAGGUAAUACCCCAUAGUCUGGCUGGAUCACCUGGUCUGGUCAGUAAAGCAGCGAUGUGGUUUGGGAGGGAUUUGCGUGACAUUAGCUAGUUGGCGGGGUAACGGCCCACCAAGGCGACGAUGUCUAGGGGACCUGAGAGGGUGAUCCCCCACACUGGCACUGAGAUACGGGGCCAGACUCCUACGGGAGGCAGCAGUAGGGAAUAUUGGGGCAAU